RNAcentral lists this ribosomal RNA (497 nucleotides) under uncultured bacterium. RNAcentral's name for it is "partial 16S ribosomal RNA". It matches the Rfam family "Bacterial small subunit ribosomal RNA", at positions 28 to 507 of the family's 1533-position model. The record is from RNAcentral.
GAUGAACGCUGGCGGCGUGCCUAAUACAUGCAAGUCGAGCGAACAGACGCGGAGCUUGUUCCUCUGACGUUAGCGGAGGACGGGAGAGUAACACGUGGAAAACCUCCCUAUCAGACUGGGAUCACUACGGGAAACCGGCGCUAAUCCCGGAUAAUAUACUGAACCGCAUGGUUCGAUAGUGAAAGUCGGCUUUGCUGUCACUUCUAGAUGGAUACGCGCCGCUUUAGCUAGUUGGUAAGGUAAAGGGUUAUCAAGGCUACGAUGCGUAAGCGACGUGUGAGAGUGGUCGGCCACACGGGAGCGGGAACACGGACCAUGCUCCUGCGAGAGGCAGCAGUAGGGAAUCGGCCGCAGUAGGCGGAAGCCUGGCGGAGCGGCGCCGCGUGAGUUGUAAAGAUCUUCGGAUCGUGAAGCUCUGUUAUUAGGGAAGAACAAAUGUGGAAUUAGCUAUGCACGUCUUGACGGUACCUAAUCAAAAAGCCACGGCUAACUACGUG